This 474-nucleotide ribosomal RNA is filed under the name uncultured organism. Its description in RNAcentral is "partial 16S ribosomal RNA". It matches the Rfam family "Bacterial small subunit ribosomal RNA", at positions 331 to 797 of the family's 1533-position model. The record is from RNAcentral.
GUACACUCCUGCGGGAGGCAGCAGUGGGGAAUUUUGGACAAUGGGCGAAAGCCUGAUCCAGCAAUGCCGCGUGUGUGAAGAAGGCCUUCGGGUUGUAAAGCACUUUUGUCCGGAAAGAAAUCCUUGGCUCUAAUACAGUCGGGGGAUGACGGUACCGGAAGAAUAAGCACCGGCUAACUACGUGCCAGCAGCCGCGGUAAUACGUAGGGUGCGAGCGUUAAUCGGAAUUACUGGGCGUAAAGCGUGCGCAGGCGGUUUGCUAAGACCGAUGUGAAAUCCCCGGGCUCAACCUGGGAACUGCAUUGGUGACUGGCAGGCUAGAGUAUGGCAGAGGGGGGUAGAAUUCCACGUGUAGCAGUGAAAUGCGUAGAGAUGUGGAGGAAUACCGAUGGCGAAGGCAGCCCCCUGGGCCAAUACUGACGCUCAUGCACGAAAGCGUGGGGAGCAAACAGGAUUAGAUACCCGGGUAGUCCC